Molecule: transfer RNA, 68 nt
Filed under: Takydromus smaragdinus
Lineage: Eukaryota; Metazoa; Chordata; Lepidosauria; Squamata; Lacertidae
Description: tRNA-His
Rfam family: tRNA
About the family: Transfer RNA (tRNA) molecules are approximately 80 nucleotides in length. Their secondary structure includes four short double-helical elements and three loops (D, anti-codon, and T loops).
Source: RNAcentral
GUAGACAUAGUUUAUAAAAACACUAGGCUGUGACCCUAGAAAAAGAAAUCAUAAAUUUCUUGUUUAUC